Long non-coding RNA from Dicentrarchus labrax (European seabass), 738 nucleotides. RefSeq lists it as uncharacterized. The record is from RefSeq and is a predicted model, not a curated record. Lineage: Eukaryota; Metazoa; Chordata; Actinopteri; Moronidae. The transcript is spliced from 3 exons.
UGAGGAGAGACAGACAGGUCAGCUGACAGACAGACAGACAGCAUCUUCAGCCAUAUCUGAGGAGAGACAGACAGGUCAGCUGACAGUCAGACACCAUCUUCAGCCAUAUCUGAGGAGAGACAGACAGGUCAGCUGACAGACAGACAGACAGCAUCUUCAGCCAUAUCUGAGGAGAGACAGACAGGUCAGCUGACAGUCAGACACCAUCUUCAGCCAUAUCUGAGGAGAGACAGACAGGUCAGCUGACAGACAGACAGACAGCAUCUUCAGCCAUAUCUGAGGAGAGACAGACAGGUUAGCUGACAGACAGACAGACAGACACCAUCUUCAGACAUAUCUGAGGAGAGACAGACAGGUCAGCUGAAAGACAGACAGCAUCUUCCAUCUGUUAUAAGCUUGUUAAUUAAUUUACUGCUAACUGGUAACACGUGUUGUUAUUUAGUUUCUUGGUUGGUUGGUUAGUUAGUUAGUUAGUUAGUUAGUUAGUUGGUUGGUUGGUUGGUUGGUUGGUUGGUUAGUUAGUUAGUUAGUUAGUUAGUUAGUUAGUUAGUUAGUUAGUUAGUUGGUUGGUUGGUUGGUUGGUUGGUUGGUUAGUUAGUUAGUUAGUUAGUUAGUUGGUUAGUUAGUAGCUGAUAUUUGUUAACUAGUUGGUACCGUUGGCUUGUUAGUUAACUGGUUUGCCGGACAUUGACUCGUCAGUUAUUUCUUGGCAACCUGGUUUAGCUUGUUAGUUAGGCU